RNAcentral lists this transfer RNA (90 nucleotides) under Candidatus Colwelliibacteriota bacterium. Its description in RNAcentral is "Candidatus Colwellbacteria bacterium tRNA-Ser". It matches the Rfam family "tRNA". Rfam says of the family: Transfer RNA (tRNA) molecules are approximately 80 nucleotides in length. Lineage: Bacteria; Candidatus Colwelliibacteriota. The record is from RNAcentral.
GGAGGCGUGGCUGAGUGGCCGAAAGCAGCACACUGCUAAUGUGCUAGGGAAGCAAUUCCCUCAGAGGUUCGAAUCCUCUCGCCUCCGCCA